GGGAAGGUGGCUCAGUGGUAGAGCACUUGCCUUGCAUGCAUGAGGCCGUGGGUUCGACUCCUCAUCACCA
This 70-nucleotide transfer RNA is filed under the name Dipodomys ordii (Ord's kangaroo rat). It matches the Rfam family "tRNA". From Rfam's summary of the family: Transfer RNA (tRNA) molecules are approximately 80 nucleotides in length. Their secondary structure includes four short double-helical elements and three loops (D, anti-codon, and T loops). The record is from Rfam by way of RNAcentral. Lineage: Eukaryota; Metazoa; Chordata; Mammalia; Rodentia; Heteromyidae.